Non-coding RNA from Parelaphostrongylus tenuis, 72 nucleotides. The record is from the annotation of a GenBank genome assembly. NCBI's taxonomy places the organism in Eukaryota, Metazoa, Nematoda, Chromadorea, Rhabditida, Metastrongylidae.
GGUCCCGAUAGUGCAGUGGUAGCACGUGCACUCGGUAUGAGUGAAACGCGGGUUCGACUCCCGACCGAGCCC